This 513-nucleotide ribosomal RNA is filed under the name uncultured bacterium. RNAcentral describes it as "partial 16S ribosomal RNA". It matches the Rfam family "Bacterial small subunit ribosomal RNA", at positions 28 to 507 of the family's 1533-position model. The record is from RNAcentral.
GACGAACGCUGGCGGCGUGCUUAACACAUGCAAGUCGAACGAAAAGAGGGAAAGAGCUUGCUCUUUCCGGAAUUGAGUGGCGAACGGGUGAGUAACACGUAAACAACCUGCCUUCAGGAUGGGGUCAACAGACGGAAACGACUGCUAAUACCGAAUACGUUCCACGUGCCGCGUGUCCCAUGGAAGAAACGGUGGCCUCUACCUGUAAGCUAUCGCCUGUAGAUGGGUUUGAGUCGGAUUAGCUGGUUGGUGGGGUAACGGCGCACCAAGGCGGCGAUCAGGAGACGGACUGAGAGGAUGAAUGGCCAGACUGGAAGUGAGACAGGGGCCAGACUCCUAGGGGAGGCAGCAGUGGGGAAUCGUGCGCAAUGGGCGAAAGCCUGACGGAGAAACGCGGCGGGAGGGAGGACGGACUUCGGGUUGUAAAACUCUGUGAUCCGGGACGAAAAGGCAGAGUGCGAAGAACAAACUGCAUUGACGGUACCGGAAAAGCAAGCCACGGCUAACUACGUG